AUUGAACGCUGGCGGCAGGCUUAACACAUGCAAGUCGAGCGGGGAAGAGUAGCUUGCUACUUGACCUAGCGGCGGACGGGGAGUAAUGCUUAGGAAUCUGCCUAUUAGUGGGGGACAACAUCUCGAAAGGGAUGCUAAUACCGCAUACGUCCUACGGGAGAAAGCAGGGGACCUUCGGGCCUUGCGCUAAUAGAUGAGCCUAAGUCGGAUUAGCUAGUUGGUGGGGUAAAGGCCUACCAAGGCGACGAUCUGUAGCGGGUCUGAGAGGAUGAUCCGUCACACUGGGACUGAGACACGGCCCAGACUCCUACGGGAGGCAGCAGUGGGGAAUAUUGGACAAUGGGGGGAACCCUGAUCCAGCCAUGCCGCGUGUGUGAAGAAGGCCUUUUGGUUGUAAAGCACUUUAAGCGAGGAGGAGGCUACCGAGAUUAAUACUCUUGGAUAGUGGACGUUACUCGCAGAAUAAGCACCGGCUAACUCUGUGCCAGCAGCCGCAGUAA
Molecule: ribosomal RNA, 500 nt
Filed under: uncultured bacterium
Lineage: Bacteria
Description: partial 16S ribosomal RNA
Rfam family: Bacterial small subunit ribosomal RNA
Source: RNAcentral